GAUGAACGCUGGCGGCGUGCCUAAUACAUGCAAGUCGAGCGAACAGAUGAGGAUCUUGCUCCUCUGACGUUAGCGGCGGACGGGUGAGUAACACGUGGAUAACCUACCUAUAAGACUGGGAUAACUUCGGGAAACCUGAUCUAAUACCGGAUAAUAUAUUGAACCGCAUGGUUCAAUAGUGAAAGACGGUUUUGCUGUCACUUAUAGAUGGAUCCGCGCCGCAUUAGCUAGUUGGUAAGGUAACGGCUUACCAAGGCAACGAUGCGUAGCCGACCUGAGAGGAUGAUCGGCCACACUGGAACUGAGACACGGUCCAGACUCCUACGGGAGGCAGCAGUAGGGAAUAUUCCGCAAUGGGCGAAAGCCUGACGGAGCAACGCCGCGUGAGUGAUGAAGGUCUUCGGAUCGUAAAACUCUGUUAUUAGGGAAGAACAAAUGUGUAAGUAACUAUGCACGUCUUGACGGUACCUAAUCAGAAAGCCACGGCUAACUACGUG
Molecule: ribosomal RNA, 497 nt
Filed under: uncultured bacterium
Lineage: Bacteria
Description: partial 16S ribosomal RNA
Rfam family: Bacterial small subunit ribosomal RNA
Source: RNAcentral